This is a long non-coding RNA of Mesocricetus auratus (golden hamster), 5033 nucleotides long. RefSeq lists it as uncharacterized. The transcript has 4 exons. The record is from RefSeq and is a predicted model, not a curated record. NCBI's taxonomy places the organism in Eukaryota, Metazoa, Chordata, Mammalia, Rodentia, Cricetidae.
UGCAGGAAUCCAACGGAUGACCUAAGAAUGCCAAUUGAGUUUCUUAAUUUUUCUUAAUCAAAAUAAAAAAGUAAUGUUACUGGAAUAAAGAAAGAAAUCUAUAAACUGAGCCGGGAUGCUUGAUUCUGGCAUUAGGAACUCUGAAGGCUCUCUGAUUUAUAUUAAAAGAGUGUCUUCUCUCCAUCCAGUCAGACGUCAUUCUAUAAAUGCUGAGCAAGAGGCAAGGUUACCACCCUUGGCAUCUUGACAUCAAAAGAAAUGUUUGCAUUAGCAGGACCUGGCAAACCAAAGGUCCCCGAAGACCACGGACAGUUGCCAGCACCGGCUUUUAGAAUCGGCUGGCUGGUUUUACUGCCAGUUAAUAGCAUUUAUAUUUGUGCUUUUGCAAAUAGCCAUGAGAAAUCAAUCGUCAGACGUGGACACUGUGAGAAACUACUAACAGGGCCCUGAAAAGCAGGCUUUCGGGUAAUGACCAAAGGAGAGGACUGGAAGGAGGAUUUGACUGGCUGCAUCCUGUUCCGCGAGAAGGGAAUCACAUUUGGACCAGCACUCAGAGCCUCUAAGGGAGAAUUGCAUUAGUCAACUCUGGUCGGCCUGGAUCUGAUGAGUCAUCUGACCUGCUGCCCUGGUGACUGUGUAGACUCUUCCUGAUGAUGGACCUCCAACUGGUCUUGGAAGGGAGCUUCAUGGAGAGCUGAUUAGCUACGGAGGACUCUAGUCUGGAAUUAUGUCCUCCAGAAUCCCUUGGCAUCAGAGCUCUGCUUUGCAGUUUCCCAAUGAAAGAAACUCAAGCAACGAAAGGAAGAAGACAAUAGAAGUUCUUGCUCCCACGGGAGCAGCAUCAAGCAUGCAGGCUUUGAUCAAUGGCAGAUGUGGGAUCACCAUAAUAACUUCUACGUACCCUCCUGCAACUUGCAUCUUUUGCUGUUGAAGGAAGCUGAGAUCAUCAGCCAUCAUUUUACAGUUCUAGACUUCUUGGAAUCUUAUGGUAUCUUUCCUUGGCCUUUGCUUCCUCGGUCCUUCUGAUAGUUUUAACAGUGUCUGGUAUAGAUCCCUACUUUGAAAACCCUUGAGUGGUGCCUGUUUCUCUGAGGAUGGAUUGCCAUGUCCUCCUAGAGUGAUAUCUGAGAACUUUUCAAGGUAUGUAGUUUAAAAUCUGACCUGCUGGAGACCUCUCUCAGAUUACUGAGCAGUGGGGACAUGCCUUGUCCCUCAAUGACAGUUGAGGACCGCAGAACAACAUGUGACUAUUAUAAUACGCUCAAGUGAGAGUCGGGAUGAGGUUUCUCUGUAAGAGCUCACAAUCUUCAGGGGUCAAUACACACGAGGUUAGGUUACAGUAGAAUAAAUAAAUGAUGUCGCUCUUAGGUUGCCAUGGAAACUGCAAAGACAGGACUAUAUAUCAGUCUUUCGUUCAAAACCUUCUCGGGCUCCCUGUUGCAUGAUGGAUUAAAUAUCAACACCUCAACUAGUAUUCAAGACGCCUGCGUUAGAGUCACUAGAAAGCAGCACCCAUGCUGACAAAGGCUUUCAUUGCCCCACCCUUGUUUCUGUGCCUGGCCUCUGACAAGUUUUAAUACCUAUUAGCAAGCGAAUGAGCGUCUGCCUCUACACUGCCGUGAAGCUAGCUGCUUACCCAUUCUCGCUGUCUAUCCUUGGCUUUCGCUGUACAUUUGUUCACACGGCCUCUCUUUGUAGCCACUUUCCCUCUCAUUUCUUUCUUUGAAUAUCCUAUUGUUUAGGGCCUAAUCUCAUGAACUACUCUCAAUCAGUUCCAGGCUUCCACUCUUUCCUGGGUGGGCUCUCUCCUUGCUUUGGGCUCCUAAGCCUGCUCUAAGAAAAGUUAAUAACCUUAUUUCAGGAAACUGGCUUUAGGUUAACAGUGAAGUCGAAUGGUUAGUCAAGAGAGGUCCCUGCAUUCUCCUGUCUUCCCCUCCAUUUCCUCUGAGUCUUUAAUGCCAGAUAGCAUAUAGAGGAGAAACAAAGGAGACAAGAACCCAAUAGGUUAUCCCUGUGGGUGUGGCCUAUCCAGACAGUAGCCAUUAUCCUUUGUACCCUGUCUUCCCCUUCCUUUUCAUUGCCUUCCUUUUCUCUCCUUUCUCUUCUUUCCUGGCAUCAAGGACACACAAGGAACUGUUCAACAUCACAGCUUGGUUGCUGUUAUUUAAAGAUUUAUUUUUUUAUAUGAGGGCUGUAUCUGCAUGUAUGCCCAAAAGACAGAAGAGGGCAUCAGAUCUCAUUAUAGAUGAUUUGUGAGCUGCUAUGUGGGUGCUGGGAAUUGAACUCAGGACCUCUGGAAGAGUAACCGGUGCUCUUAAUUGCUGAGCCACCUCUCCAGCCCAGCUUUUGUUGUUUUUUAAGCAAUGGAAUCUUGCUCCAUUUCCCAGGCAGACCUCCCAUUCCUAGAUGCAAUUCAAGAAGCUCCACAAUAGACAGAGAUGGCAGAAAAAGUUCUCCAAGGUCUUGCAAAAGAGAGGGCACUGGCCAUGAGGAGUCUUGGGAUUCACCAGGUACCCUGCUGGGAGAAGGCGAGGGAUCAGGUUAGGGCAGAAAGCUAGGUCUAGAUGCAACUGAAGCCAGCCAUGUGGCUAAGGGCAGCCAGAGCUGAUGUUAGGAUGCUGCAGGGACCUUCCCUAGGUCAGCAUAUGAAGGCAAUAGGAUCCCGUCAAGCCCAGGAACCUCUGUGAACUUUAGAGUCUGCCUGUUUGGGAUGGGAGGGGGCACUAGGACCCAGUUUUCUCAUUCCUGGUGCUUUGCUUUUAAAGACAGUUCUCUGGUCUUUCUAUUUUUUGUGUUUAUUUUAAUGCAGCUGAAUCCUGAAAUGUAAGAGAGCAAGGCAAGGCUGUUCCGAUUGAAAUGGGUGUGGAAGCCAGAACCCCCUGUUCACCUCCCAAGGUUUCCCCCAAACGCGUAUCUUCUCAGAACACAGCUCAUGAACACAGCACUGAGAUGUGCAGUCUCCUAGCCAUACCUUGAAUUUGUUACUAUAAAUAAAACAGGAUGUUACCAUGGCAACCUUACAGUCUGUUGAAAUUGCCCCUUAUGGACCAAAUUAGCCUGGAUCGAUAGUGCUUCCUGAAUGCGAAAUUACUUUCCUUUUGAAAAAAAAAGUUUGAACAAAUUAUAGAACAAAGCAUUGGGGGAAAUGAGGUCUGAGUCGAUGCAAUAACAGUGUUAGCUGCAGCUCUCGGCAACGCCCACACAUCGUGUCCUUAGUGACACGUGUCGCCAAGCUGGUGCUCUCCAGGCCAGCACUUUAUUCACUGUUCACUUCCAUGGCCUCUUCCCCCAGGCAAGCAUUUCCCGCUGCUCUGCACGCGUCAGGAGAAAGGACACUUCUGUCUUUAACAUCUUGCUUCCUCAGACUCAGCUGUCCAGCGAGGAGACGCUGUCUUCAGAGAUGGACAGGUUUUAAAUGGCACUCCCCAAGCGGGCUGGCAGGGCGGACCUCGGAGCAGAUGUGGGCCCAGACCUCACUCCAGGGAGGGGUUUGUCCCAGCGAAGCCAUUAGUUAGCCCUGGAGCCUGGGAUCUUCUGCAAUUGUUCCUAGGAAUUCUUACCGCAGGCCAGAGCUAAGGAAGCUGGAGGUGGGAGGAAGGAGUGACGAGCUUGGCUGCAUUUUGGGGUUCAUAUCUGAGUGUGUACACAAAGCCCCGAAUCUUGAACAGUCUUCCAAUUGACCUGGUGCCGCAACUCUAUGUCUUUUAUCUAAAAUGCAGGGUGUGUUGGUGUUAGGAACUGAACUUGGAUCCUCUUGAAGAGCACCUGGUGUUCUUAACUACUGAGCCAUCUCUCCAGCACCAAAGUUGGUUGGUUUGUUUAUACAGAGUCUAGGAUUUGCUAUGCAGUCAAGGAUGACUGUGAAUUCCUGAUCUCCACCUCCUAGUGCUGGGAUUACAGGUGUGUGCUACCAUGCCCAGUUCUCCUCACCAAUACUUCCUGUUGCUUCUUCUGAUGCAAAUGUCUCCCUCAUUUCACAUGCAGUUAAUAAGAGAGAGGUUCCAGAACGUUCCUUCCAGGUCAGAACUCUCCUUUGGAAAUGUUAACCUGAGGAAUCCUUUCGCAAAUAGUGUUUUAUUGGGGUGUGGUAGAAGGGUUCUCAACCAGGAACCAAGGUAUUUGUAUACAUGGCUCAAAUCUACCCUCAUGAGUUCAGAGCCUUGCAGGAAUUGAUCAAAAACUCAGGUUCACCACAGCUAAUCUGCUGGGUGCAUUUACUUGACUUGGCAAAGUACCUUCUGAUUUUUAACUCGGGGGGAAGCAGACUGUAGCUCCUUUGAGUUUGGAGGCUGCUGUUUCUCCCCGUAGCACCUUGAUUUCCAGGUUCUCAGUUCUUGAUGAUUUCAAUCUGUCAGGAUUCUGAAACAAAGCAUCGUAAUUAUAGACAUUCCCUUCAGUGUUGUGUGAUAAGAACUGGAUGGAAGUGGUAUGUUAUUUUGGGAGCGAGGAUUGCACUCCACAGAGAGGCAGAUGACAAAGCUGUCAUGAGAGGGAAUACAUAGCAGAGAGGAAGUAGCACCCCACAGAGCGGGGAAGCAAGGCUGGAAGGAGAGGGUUGCUGUGCUGGGAUUGUUUCCCGCUUUGCCUCAUCUGACAACAGACCAAACGCUAAUGAGCUUUGUCUAGAUCAGCUGGUGCCUGUGGUAACUGAAAGCUUGCCCCUUCUGAGGGGUGCUGGCGGCUUGAGUGUGGCGUGGUGAGCGUGGCUCUGGCAGCCCUUGCUAAAGCAUUAGAUUAUAUUCCUGAAGAUAGCCACCAGGGUCCCUUAUUUGGCUGCUUCCUCCUUCUGAGGCUUGACUACCAAGGUCCAGUUACUGAAGUCCAGCAGUCAAACAAGCUCCCUUUGGUUCACCUACUUAAUAUGCCCAAUCAAAAUAUACCACUGCAUCGUAGUCCCUUCUAACACAGACCCCCCCCCUUUUAUCCUUUUAAAAACGACACCUGCAACGUCAUUUGCUGCUGUUUUCUGCCUGAGUUAGAAAGCAGCCACUUUAACUUUUCUUCCUCAUUAAUAAAUGAUCUCUCUGCGAAAA